GGAGGUGUGGCCGAGCGGUUUAAGGCACCGGUCUUGAAAACCGGCGAAGGAGCAAUCCUUCCGUGAGUUCGAAUCUCACCGCCUCCGCCA
Molecule: transfer RNA, 90 nt
Filed under: Paraburkholderia sp.
Lineage: Bacteria; Pseudomonadati; Pseudomonadota; Betaproteobacteria; Burkholderiales; Burkholderiaceae
Also listed under: 13 other names
Description: tRNA-Ser
Rfam family: tRNA
About the family: Transfer RNA (tRNA) molecules are approximately 80 nucleotides in length. Their secondary structure includes four short double-helical elements and three loops (D, anti-codon, and T loops). Further hydrogen bonds mediate the characteristic L-shaped molecular structure. tRNAs have two regions of fundamental functional importance: the anti-codon, which is responsible for specific mRNA codon recognition, and the 3' end, to which the tRNAs corresponding amino acid is attached (by aminoacyl-tRNA synthetases). tRNAs cope with the degeneracy of the genetic code in two manners: having more than one tRNA (with a specific anti-codon) for a particular amino acid; and 'wobble' base-pairing, i.e. permitting non-standard base-pairing at the 3rd anti-codon position.
Source: RNAcentral